This 468-nucleotide ribosomal RNA is filed under the name uncultured bacterium. RNAcentral's name for it is "partial 16S ribosomal RNA". It matches the Rfam family "Bacterial small subunit ribosomal RNA", at positions 28 to 507 of the family's 1533-position model. The record is from RNAcentral.
GACGAACGCUGGCGGCGUGCCUAAUACAUGCAAGUCGAACGGACAGGCCCUGCUUUUGCUGGGUGCUCGAGUGGCGAACAGGUGAGUAACACGUGAGUAACCUGCCCUUGACUUUCGGAUAACUUCAGGAAACUGGGGCUAAUACCGGAUAGGAGCUCCUGCUGCUUGGUGGGGGAUGGAAAGUUUCGGCGGUUGGGGAUGGAAGCGCGGCUUAUCAGCUUGUUGGUGAGGUAGUUGCUUACCAAGGUUUUGACGGGUAGCCGGCCUGAGAGGGUGACCGGGCACAAUAGUACUAAGGUACGGCCCAGACUGCAACGGGAGGCAGCGGUGGAAAACAUUGCGCAAUAGGCCGAAGCCUGAGACAACGGCGCCGGGUGCGUGAUAACGGCUUUCGGGGUAUAAACAGCUUUGGACUGUAACGAACAGUGAGUGACGGUAAUGGAUCAGAAAGCACCGGCUAACUACGUG